UACAGAGGGGGCAAGCGUUAUUCGGAAUUAUUGGGCGUAAAGGGCGCGUAGGCGGCUAUUCAAGUGGCGGGUGAAAUCCCUCGGCUUAACCGAGGAACUGCCUGCCAGACUGGAUGGCUUGAGACCGGGAGAGGUGAGUGGAAUUCCCAGUGUAGCGGUGAAAUGCGUAGAUAUUGGGAAGAACACCGGUGGCGAAGGCGGCCAUCUGGACCGCAACUGACGCUGAGGCGCGAAAGCGUGGGGAGCAAACAGG
This 253-nucleotide ribosomal RNA is filed under the name uncultured bacterium. RNAcentral describes it as "partial 16S ribosomal RNA". It matches the Rfam family "Bacterial small subunit ribosomal RNA", at positions 524 to 776 of the family's 1533-position model. The record is from RNAcentral.